UUCUUGUGUCGUCUGUUUGGCGCUAUAGUACUUCAGCCAUUUAAUGAUGCUCUCUCCACACUGGGAUAAAUAAAAACAAACACAUCACAUCUAAUGUGGACAUAUCAGAUGCCUUGUGAAACAUAAAGGAACAAUUCAGUUUCGAGCUAUGGCACUUGCCGCAUAGAUGUGGGGGGGCCUUGCACCAAUAGUGAUAGUUACCACUGCAUUUAGAAAUUGAAAGCAUUUGUGCAGACAAGGAUGAUUCUUUAUAUUUUUGGCUACCACUUCAAAUGCCUCCACCAAGUGUUACAAUGCUGCACGCAGCCAUACUAAGGAUCUCGCAACAACACCUGCAGGUAAAAAGCAGAAGCAGUCAAAGUGCUGGUGUGUUCUGGACACUAUGUUUGAAAACUUUUAGGCAAGAAGAGUGCAAGAAGCAGACAUAACUGCAUUUAUUUCCAUAAUUCCCCAUUUAAAGGGCCUUUUCUUUUUGCUUAGACAAUGCCUACGCCUAGCCACAGCAGCUCCCUCAUACAGACUCCGCAAACCAAGAGGCCGUGGAGGCAAAUGCAGGCAGCCAGCACACCUCGAACAGCCACCUUGACUGCGGGUGUGUCACCCUAGUCGCCAAGGAAACAUUUGAGGGAAAGUGACAGGCAAUGUGAAUAGCCACUCCUCCAUGUAAACAAUACUCUUUCUCUCGGAUGACUCCUACGCCUCACCACGCCAGCACACUUGUGCACAAAGAUGCCGCAGAGGCACGUGCAGGUCAGAGGCAAGAAGCAGUGGCACUGGUGUCGACAUUUACCCAAUUUCUUUUUCUUACACUGAGGCAGCCAGCACACCUCGAACAGCCACCUCGACUGCGGGUGUGUUAGUUGAUCCCUGUUGUACAUAUGCUCAUAAUAAACUUCAGUAAACUUGAACUUCAUAAUAAACUUGAAGGCAAAUGGUA
This is a non-coding RNA of Dermacentor albipictus, 937 nucleotides long. The record is from RefSeq and is a predicted model, not a curated record. Lineage: Eukaryota; Metazoa; Arthropoda; Arachnida; Ixodida; Ixodidae.